UCCAUCUACUAAAGAUGCGCGGGAAAAAAUAUGUUAUGUCAAGGUCUUUGUUUUGCUAACGUUAGCGGCCUUGUGAACAUUAGCUAUAUAUAUAUUUAUUUAUUUUCUCCGAUAGCUGAGUGUACACGGACAGAAAUGGACUCCAAAUACCCACAUCUGGCGAGACCUCAGAAGAAGCUCCGUAAAGUGAGCACAGAGAAAGUGGAACCCAAAGAACAACCAGCACCAGAGAAGAGGAGUCUGGCCCAACCACCAGAGAAGGAGGCAACACAGGAAAGGAAAG
This is a long non-coding RNA of Coregonus clupeaformis (lake whitefish), 283 nucleotides long. RefSeq lists it as uncharacterized. The record is from RefSeq and is a predicted model, not a curated record. The transcript is spliced from 3 exons. NCBI's taxonomy places the organism in Eukaryota, Metazoa, Chordata, Actinopteri, Salmoniformes, Salmonidae.